GACUAUUUUAGUUCCAUGGGAUAUGGUAACACUUCUAAGCACUUGCCUAUCAGCCUAAAGCUUGAGUCCUUCAGAGCCAGAGAAAGAAGAGUUUUCACUCUUUGGGAACACCAAAUUGAACAACUAUGAAGAAAAUCAACUUCAUAAGAACCUAUGAUCAGCAGGAUAAUAAAAUCACCAUCAUGAAGAAGCCGUCUCAUGAGAAAACCCACUAUGUGAACUCCCAACACUGCUGAAGAGUCACCACCUCUAGUUUGUCAGAUAAGCUCUUCAGAUGGCCAGUUGUCCCCUUCAGGAUCCUGGGAUGGGACCAUGUACGUCUAGCAAUAUAAAACUGGUACUGGCAUUA
Pan troglodytes (chimpanzee) is the source of this 349-nucleotide long non-coding RNA. RefSeq lists it as uncharacterized. The record is from RefSeq and is a predicted model, not a curated record. Lineage: Eukaryota; Metazoa; Chordata; Mammalia; Primates; Hominidae. The transcript has 3 exons.